RNAcentral lists this ribosomal RNA (253 nucleotides) under uncultured bacterium. RNAcentral describes it as "partial 16S ribosomal RNA". It matches the Rfam family "Bacterial small subunit ribosomal RNA", at positions 524 to 776 of the family's 1533-position model. The record is from RNAcentral.
UACGUAGGGUGCAAGCGUUAAUCGGAAUUACUGGGCGUAAAGCGUGCGCAGGCGGUUCGCUAAGACAGAUGUGAAAUCCCCGGGCUUAACCUGGGAACUGCAUUUGUGACUGGCGGGCUAGAGUAUGGCAGAGGGGGGUAGAAUUCCACGUGUAGCAGUGAAAUGCGUAGAGAUGUGGAGGAAUACCGAUGGCGAGGGCAGCCUCCUGGGCCAACACUGACGCUCAUGCACGAAAGCGUGGGGAGCAAACAGG